CUCGGUGCCCUGGAGGACCUGGCCGGCUCCGCGGGAAGCUGUACUCAGAGCGCGCGGCCGCCCUCUGGCAGGGAGGAGUUCGUUGCACUUUUGAGGGUUCUUCACGAAGACAUCCAAUACAUAGAAAACAAGUAACAGCAACAGUAACGAAUUUUUAAAUAUUAAAAUUGCUGGGGAACACGACGGAUCCUGCAGCUGCUCGGCUGUCCCGGUCGUCAGUGACGCUAGGGCUCCGCACCGUACCCUGCAUACCGUAGGUGCUCACGAAACGUUCGUGAGUUCCCUGCUCUGAGGAAACAAGCUUAAAAACUCAGAAUCUAAGGUGUGAGUCUCCGCAAACCUGCUUGUUGGGCAGCGUCCCCCGCCCGGGCUAGCCCUGCACGCCCCACCCCGGAGCCACGCUUCUCCAGCCGGGACCCCUGCCUCCUUCCAGGCUAUUCUCGGAACCGCAGCCAGAGGGAAUUUUUUUUUCCUUUCCUGAAACGUAGAGCAGAUCUGGUUACUCUUCUGCACAACGCCCUAAAAUCUAGGGCCCUUCCCAUCCCUCAGAAUUUACAUCUAAUUCUCAGCUCCCCUCCGGCUUGCUGUAGCCAUCCUGGCUUUUGUUUAGCACAGCACUUACUGUUAGUGACAUUAUAUUGUAUAUUAUUAACAUAUUUGUGUUUUACAUCCCUCACUAGACCCCCAGGAAAGAGGCUUUGAUGUGUUGCCUGCUGCAAGGCUGGCUGCAUAAUUUGUGGAGCUCAGAGAAAAGUGCGGAGCUUCCUUGUUCAAAAAACAGAAAGAAAGUGCCUCUGAGGUCAUAAAAUAUAAAACUUUCUCUUUCCUCUCAGUUUCUCUCUUUUCAUAGUGUUUUUAUGUGUUAUUUAAUAUCAUUCCAAGAAAAAUUUAGAUUUAAAUUGUUAGCAUGAAGUUCACCAUCCAUCUUUACGUUGUGCAAUGCCAGUUUUAAAUACUAAUAUAAGUGCACUGAUCUCAUAUGUGGAAUCACAGAAAUUAUGCAAUUUGUACUUCAUAGCUUAUACAUGCAUAUAGAUUUUGUUUUUACCAGAACCACGCUGGUAAAAACAGAUGCUGCACAAAGUGAACUUGCCCGUUUUCAUCGCACUUUACGUGCACGAAUUCUACCUCUACUCUCGACCUGGGACUCACCGAUGCGUAAGGAAGGACUGAAAAGCAAAAGAACUAUGGACUGGCCUUUUGGCAUGAUCAGGUGUCUAAUAUAAAGAAGUGCAUGAAUAAGAAAAUAUAUGAUAUGAGUGAUGGUUAAUACUGACUGUCAACUUGAUUGGAUUGAAGGAUGCAAAGUAUUGAUCCUGGGUGUGUCUGUGAGGGUGUUGCCAAAGGAGAUUAACAUUUGAGUCAGUGGGCUGGGAAAGUUCGACCCACUGUUAAUCUAGAUGGACACCAUCUAAUCAGAUGCCAGUGCAGCUAGAAAUGUAAAGCAGACAGAAAAAUGCGAAAAGAGAGACUGGCCUAGCCUGCCAGCCUACAUCUUUCUCCCACGCUGGAUGCUUCCUGCCCUCGAACAUCAGACUCCAAGUUCUUCAGUUUGGGACUUGGACUGGCUCUCCUUGUUCCUCAGCUUGAAGACUGCCCAUUGUGGGACUUGUGAUCAUGUGCUCAGGAAGUAUGUGUGGACUUUUGUCAUGGGUU
This 1656-nucleotide long non-coding RNA is filed under the name Homo sapiens (human). Its description in RNAcentral is "non-protein coding lnc-COL6A3-14:9". Lineage: Eukaryota; Metazoa; Chordata; Mammalia; Primates; Hominidae. The record is from RNAcentral.